Molecule: ribosomal RNA, 506 nt
Filed under: uncultured bacterium
Lineage: Bacteria
Description: partial 16S ribosomal RNA
Rfam family: Bacterial small subunit ribosomal RNA
Source: RNAcentral
AGUGAACGCUGGCGGUAGGCCUAACACAUGCAAGUCGAACGGCAGCACAGGAGAGCUUGCUCUCUGGGUGGCGAGUGGCGGACGGGUGAGGAAUACAUCGGAAUCUACUCUGCCGUGGGGGAUAACGUAGGGAAACUUACGCUAAUACCGCAUACGACCUACGGGUGAAAGCAGGGGACCUUCGGGCCUUGCGCGAUUGAAUGAGCCGAUGUCGGAUUAGCUAGUUGGCGGGGUAAAGGCCCACCAAGGCGACGAUCCGUAGCUGGUCUGAGAGGAUGAUCAGCCACACUGGAACUGAGACACGGUCCAGACUCCUACGGGAGGCAGCAGUGGGGAAUAUUGGACAAUGGGCGCAAGCCUGAUCCAGCCAUACCGCGUGGGUGAAGAAGGCCUUCGGGUUGUAAAGCCCCUUUGUUGGGAAAGAAAUCCAGCUGGCUAAUACCCGGUUGGGAUGACGGUACCCAAAGAAUAAGCACCGGCUAACUUCGUGCCAGCCGCCGCGGUAA